UAAGGAAUAUUGGUCAAUGGACGCAAGUCUGAACCAGCCAUGCCGCGUGAAGGAUGAAGGUCCUCUGGAUUGUAAACUUCUUUUAUCUGGGACGAAAACGGGAUUUUUAUCUCAAUUGACGGUACCAGAGGAAUAAGCACCGGCUAACUCCGUGCCAGCAGCCGCGGUAAUACGGAGGGUGCGAGCGUUAUCCGGAUUUACUGGGUUUAAAGGGUGCGUAGGUGGGCUUAUAAGUCAGUGGUGAAAUCUCCGAGCUUAACUUGGAAACUGCCGUUGAUACUAUAGGUCUUGAAUUAUCUGGAGGUAAGCGGAAUAUGUCAUGUAGCGGUGAAAUGCUUAGAUAUGACAUAGAACACCGAUUGCGAAGGCAGCUUACUACAUAUAAAUUGACGCUGAGGCACGAAAGCGUGGGGAUCAAACA
Molecule: ribosomal RNA, 421 nt
Filed under: uncultured bacterium
Lineage: Bacteria
Description: bacterial SSU rRNA
Rfam family: Bacterial small subunit ribosomal RNA
Source: RNAcentral